This 484-nucleotide ribosomal RNA is filed under the name uncultured bacterium. RNAcentral's name for it is "partial 16S ribosomal RNA". It matches the Rfam family "Bacterial small subunit ribosomal RNA", at positions 29 to 507 of the family's 1533-position model. The record is from RNAcentral.
AUUGAACGCUCGCGGCAUGCUUUACACAUGCAAGUCGAACGGCAGCGCGGGCUUCGGCCUGGCGGCGAGUGGCGAACGGGUGAGUAAUACAUCGGAACGUGCCCAGUAGUGGGGGAUAGCUCGGCGAAAGCCGGAUUAAUACCGCAUACGACCUGAGGGUGAAAGCGGGGGAUCUUCGGACCUCGCGCUAUUGGAGCGGCCGAUGGCAGAUUAGCUAGUUGGUGGGGUAAAGGCCUACCAAGGCGACGAUCUGUAGCUGGUCUGAGAGGACGACCAGCCACACUGGGACUGAGACACGGCCCAGACUCCUACGGGAGGCAGCAGUGGGGAAUUUUGGACAAUGGGCGAAAGCCUGAUCCAGCAAUGCCGCGUGUGUGAUGAAGGCCUUCGGGUUGUAAAGCACUUUUGGCGGGAACGAAAAGGACUGUGCCAAUACCACGGUUCGAUGACGGUACCCGCAGAAUAAGCACCGGCUAACUACGUG